This 471-nucleotide ribosomal RNA is filed under the name uncultured bacterium. Its description in RNAcentral is "bacterial SSU rRNA". It matches the Rfam family "Bacterial small subunit ribosomal RNA", at positions 28 to 526 of the family's 1533-position model. The record is from RNAcentral.
GACGAACGCUGGCGGCGUGCCUAAUACAUGCAAGUCGAGCGAAGAACUUCGGUUCUUAGCGGCGAACGGGUGAGUAACACGUGGGCAACCUGGCCUCAAGCCUGGGAUAACACCGGGAAACCGGUGCUAACACCAGAUAAUCUUAUUCUUCGCAUGAAGAAAAAGUAAAAGGUAACACUUGAGGAUGGGCCCGCGGUGCAUUAGCUAGUUGGUGGGGUAACGGCCUACCAAGGCAACGAUGCAUAGCCGACCUGAGAGGGUGACCGGCCACACUGGGACUGAGACACGGCCCAGACUCCUACGGGAGGCAGCAGUAGGGAAUUUUCCGCAAUGGGGGCAACCCUGACGGAGCAACGCCGCGUGAGUGAAGACGGCCUUCGGGUUGUAAAGCUCUGUUCUUGGGGAAGAAAACAAUGACGGUACCCAAGCAGAAAGCCCCGGCUAACUACGUGCCAGCCGCCGCAGUAACAC